UUUGCAUUGCCCGACUUACCAGGCAAGGGCUGUUGUGGCUCAUCAUGGCACUGCAGGGGGCUUCUUCCCAGAAGCCCUCUGUGUGGCAGGAAAUUCAUUUAAGGCUGCCCGGAGGGCCAGAGCAGACAUCGGGCCUGCUUUUCAUUGUUGAGACAGCAGCAGCAAGGACAGCAGCAGCAGCAGACACAAGGAAAUUUCAGCAGACGUGUUGGCAGGCCUUCAUUCCAAGUAGAAACUAUCUCAUCAGGAAGCUUAAAAGGACUCUUGCUAAAAUCCAUGACUUAGCUUUGCCUCUCUCCUGCUGAAAUCACUAGGUAAGUUAAGUUUCACUCCAUUUGUUUGUUGUGUGCCUUCAAGUCAUAGGUUUUUCUUGCCCACAUUUGCUAAAAUAGAGUUUAUGCUUGCUGUCCUGUGAGGCUGACAGAAUAUGACAUGCCCAAGGUUGUCCAGCGAGUUUCUAUGGCUGAGAAAGAAUUUGAAUCUUAGUCUCCAAAGUCCAGUUCUCCAACCACUACAUUACUCGGUCUCUCUUAUACCUCUGAAAGAUUGAUUUUGCAAUCAACCUUUUAGGCCCCAGGAAUCUUGGAUUUUACUCAGAUAAUCUUUUAGUUCAUUUUCUUUUUCAAAGUGCUUGUUCAGCAUAGAGAACCAUGAUUAAAUUUCCUCCUUGAACUUGAACUCUAUCAGCUUAAAGAGCUUCUCACAAAUC
This 709-nucleotide long non-coding RNA is filed under the name Anolis carolinensis (green anole). RNAcentral's name for it is "lncRNA (ENSACAG00000030162.2)". The record is from RNAcentral. Lineage: Eukaryota; Metazoa; Chordata; Lepidosauria; Squamata; Anolidae.